GAGGUUGUGGCUCAGUGGUAGAGCACUUAUCUAGCCCACAUGAGGCACUGAGUUUGAUUCUCAGCACCACA
RNAcentral lists this transfer RNA (71 nucleotides) under Marmota monax (woodchuck). Its description in RNAcentral is "tRNA.Ala". Lineage: Eukaryota; Metazoa; Chordata; Mammalia; Rodentia; Sciuridae. The record is from RNAcentral.